AGAUAAGGAUGCGUCGGCCCGUGUUACAUAUAAUAUUUCAAGCUAGCCUUAUGUUUUUAUCUUUAUCGUUUUUGCUUUAUUACACGUCGCAAGUCGGACACGUCGCUUACUACUUUCAUUUCUGUUUAGGUGUUUGUAUUGCUUAACGCUUAUGAAGUGUGCUUAGUACGUAUACAUAAUGCUAUGUGCCCAUCCUUGUUCCAGAAUUCGGCGAUUGUGAACAUGCAUUGGGACAUGACGAAGGUGCUAAAGUUGUAAACAUCAAACUUGGAAACCCAAUACCUUGCGGGUCGUGUAAUACCAUAGGGGACAGUGCUGUGCAUUUUGGCAUGAACUUACAUAGGCAGGGUCCACUGCAAGGGUAAUCAAAGUAGAGUGCACACAGGAAAAUGGCACAGUGUGGAUGGUCAUUUAGAGACGAGUUGACGGUUCCACAAACUUUGACAAAACGUGGCAAAUGUACAAAGAGGGUUUUGGAAAUGUGGACCCAAAUGGAGAGUUUUGGCUAGGCAAUGAAAACAUACAUCAAACGACAUAUACUGCUGACCAUCGUUUACGAAAAGACAUGCGCGACUGGGAUGGAAACUUGGUUAACGCCGAGUACGAACAUUUCCGUGUUGGGGGACGAAGCUAGCCGAUAUACUCUUGUAGUGGGAAGCUAUUCGGGCACAGCAGCUACAGCACCACCAGGUGGCGUUCUCCACGCGUGACCAUGACAACGACAACAGCCCUGCCAACUGCGCACGUGAGCUGAGAGGCGGUUGGUGGUUCAACGACUGCUACAGUGCGGGGUCUUGUAUCAUUCUUGUAAGCGACUGAUGAGAAAUGGUGUGUUUGUUUUAUAUUUAUUUCUCGUUUUCAUAUGGUGAUUUGUUGGAACACCUAAAGAGAUUUAACAGUUAUCAUCGGUAAUUCGUUGCUUUUGCUUUUGUUGUGUUUCUUUAUAUACUGAAUAUUCUAAUAACGUCAAAGUUCGAGGAGUUAAACAAAUUCUUUUACACCAUAUAUUUAUUUUUAUUAAAAUUUACUCCCACUUAGAACAUGCUUUGUGCUUUGAAAUAUAUUUCGAAAUACUUUUGCAAUAAGAUGUACGCUUAUAAUAGUGACGUGCGUUUGGUUACGAAAACUGUAUUUGCAAGUGUAACGCACUUUGGUGUUGACGAAAGAACGUACGCAUUAUGGAAUUAAACUCCAAAGUCGGGUUGAAACCGAAUAGCGGUGAUACAAAGUAAUAACAAAAUAACAGUAUUAACUACUUUUGAUAUUGCAGUUCCAAUCUUAACGGUGUCUUCAUCGACCAUCCUUUCGGUGCGCGCACGAUCGGCGAGUCGUACCCACAACACCCCCUCGAGGGCACGGGCUUAGAGUGGUGCCCGUACAAACGCCGACAGUACUCCAUGCGAAGCGUGGAAAUGAAAAUCACAAAAUCAAGGGUCGCGUCCAUUUUGGGAUGAUUUUUUGUUGGGGGCUUUGGUAUUUCAUGAAAAUAAAGCGGCUUAUUCUCUG
This is an RNA transcript of Dreissena polymorpha, 1506 nucleotides long. It is a transcript of the gene named fibrinogen C domain-containing protein 1-A-like, with no coding region annotated. The transcript has 6 exons. NCBI's taxonomy places the organism in Eukaryota, Metazoa, Mollusca, Bivalvia, Myida, Dreissenidae. The record is from RefSeq and is a predicted model, not a curated record.